CUGCUUUAAUAGCACAUGUAUUAAAAUUAGAAUGAUAUGAAGAUUAGCAUGUUCCCUGCACUAAUAUGACAUGUAAAUCUGCAAAGUAGUGACUGCUUUG
Molecule: small nuclear RNA, 100 nt
Organism: Gorilla gorilla gorilla (western lowland gorilla)
Lineage: Eukaryota; Metazoa; Chordata; Mammalia; Primates; Hominidae
Source: Ensembl